UUUUUACUCUUUCCCUAUUACCAACAUAUAUAGAAUCGUUACCUUUGUAAGGCACAAUAUGGGACAUUAUACCUGUAUUAUUGGCCAUAUGAGAUGUAGCGCCUGAAUCAGCAUAAAAUGUUGGGUCAUGAUUCUUUUUAUUCAGAUUAAUAGCAGCUAAUGCUUGUGGGAUUUGCUCUGUUUGAUAAGAGUAAUCAAACCUAUGCCAACAAU
Molecule: long non-coding RNA, 213 nt
Filed under: Citrus sinensis (sweet orange)
Lineage: Eukaryota; Viridiplantae; Streptophyta; Magnoliopsida; Sapindales; Rutaceae
Description: long non-coding RNA (CSIN_LNC004335)
Source: RNAcentral